Molecule: regulatory RNA element, 65 nt
Organism: Ruminococcus sp. CAG:382
Lineage: Bacteria; Bacillati; Bacillota; Clostridia; Eubacteriales; Oscillospiraceae
Rfam family: pemK RNA
Source: Rfam
ACAAUGAUACUUCCGUAGCGAAAGCGCGGCUUCCGGAGUACCCGGGGGUGGUGAGAGUCCAAUGA